This 446-nucleotide ribosomal RNA is filed under the name uncultured bacterium. Its description in RNAcentral is "partial 16S ribosomal RNA". It matches the Rfam family "Bacterial small subunit ribosomal RNA", at positions 338 to 795 of the family's 1533-position model. The record is from RNAcentral.
CCUACGGGAGGCUGCAGUCGAGACUCAUUCACAAUGGGGGAAACCCUGAUGGUGCGACGCCGCGUGGGGGAAUGAAGGUCUUCGGAUUGUAAACCCCUGUCAUGUGGGAGCAAAUUAAAAAGAUAGUACCACAAGAGGAAGAGACGGCUAACUCUGUGCCAGCAGCCGCGGUAAUACAGAGGUCUCACGCGUUGUUCGGAAUCACUUGGCUUAAAGCGUGCGUAGGCUGCUUCUGAAGUCGUGUGUGAAAGGCGCGGGGGAACCCCGCGGCCGGAACAUGAUACUGCGAGAGUAGAGGAAUGGAGGGGGAACCGGAAGUCUCGGGGUAGCAGUGAAAUGCGUAGAUAUCGAGAGGAACACUCGUGGCGAAGGCGGGUUCCUGGACAUUAACUGACGCUGAGGCACGAAGGCCAGGGGAGCGAAAGGGAUUAGAUACCCGGGUAGUC